UGCAAGUCGAGGGGCAUCAGUUUGGUUUGCUUGCAAACCAAAGCUGGCGACCGGCGCACGGGUGAGUAACACGUAUCCAACCUGCCUCAUACUCCGGGGAUAGCCUUUCGAAAGAAAGAUUAAUAUCCGAUAGCAUAUAUUUCCCGCAUGGGUUUUAUAUUAAAGAAAUUCGGUAUGAGAUGGGGAUGCCCCGUUCCAUUAGUUUGUUGGGGGGUAACGGCCCACCUAGUCUUCGAUGGAUAGGGGUUCUGAGAGGAAGGUCCCCCACAUUGGAACUGAGACACGGUCCAAACUCC
RNAcentral lists this ribosomal RNA (296 nucleotides) under uncultured Bacteroides sp. RNAcentral's name for it is "partial 16S ribosomal RNA". It matches the Rfam family "Bacterial small subunit ribosomal RNA", at positions 56 to 339 of the family's 1533-position model. The record is from RNAcentral. Lineage: Bacteria; Pseudomonadati; Bacteroidota; Bacteroidia; Bacteroidales; Bacteroidaceae.